CCUUGGGACCACCCCCACCUCGGAGGGCUCCUCCUGGCCACUGCAGCCCUGGCGGUGGCCACCGGGGUCUUCUAAGCCACUAGGGCUGCCAAGACCACCGUGGUCAUUGCGGUCACCGCGGUCACCAAAGCCACUUGCACCCCCCAAGCCAUGAGGCCACCAAGGUCACUGAGGUCUCCAAAGUCACCGUGGCCUCUGUGGCCACCAAGACAAGACAAGGGAGGGGACAACAGCGGAGCCAUGGGUGCCACCAGGACGUUGGGACAGGGGGACCCUGAAUGUGCCAUGGCUGUGGUUCUUCACUUUUUGGUCUUUUUUUUUUGCCUCCCUUUCCAAAAAUUUUAAUUUUUCUUCCCAAUUAUUAAACUGGAUUUACCUCAAUCCAUGAUUUUUCCCUUCACUGUAACCCUCUGGAGAAGGAGGAUGAGGAGGAAGGACAGAGGGGCUCCCUGGGCAGGGGAUGGUCUUGAAGGUCCUUUCGCAUCCCAAAUUAUCCUGGAAUUCCAGGAUUUCCUGCAGGCAGGAGGAAGAGGAAAAGGAGGAGGAGGAGGAAGAGGGUUCUGAGAGUGGAACAACCCCCUGAUGAGUCGAAUUUUCUACCCCAACAACCCAGAAAAGGCCUCAACAUUCCAAGGGCCCAAAACUGAAGGUGAUGAUAAAAAAAGGGCUAAAACCACAACCAAGGAAUGCACAUGCUCCAAAAUGCCAGAUCCAAGGAGGAGCCGUGCUAAACAAUUAUUGGGAUAUGUAAACGAGUUUGGAGAAAAGUUUAUUAUGCAUAAGGGGCUAUGAAUAUGCAACAGGAUGAUGUAAUGGAAGAGGACAGUGAGCGUGUUUUUCACAGCAGCUGCAAGGACUGAGACCACCAAGCACUCCCAAAACGCCCCAAGACUCACAGGAUUGCAUCAUUCCACCCCAAAACUCCCUGCCAUGGAGGAGGGACUCAGCAUUCCCACCCACAUUGUAUUUGCAGGGUUCCCAGGAAAAGGAAGGAAUGAUGAAGCUGACUCCAUGUUCUCAGAUGGCUA
Molecule: long non-coding RNA, 1028 nt
Organism: Pyrgilauda ruficollis (rufous-necked snowfinch)
Lineage: Eukaryota; Metazoa; Chordata; Aves; Passeriformes; Passeridae
Exons: 3
Source: RefSeq, a predicted model, not a curated record